UACGAAGGGGGCUAGCGUUGCUCGGAAUCACUGGGCGUAAAGCGCACGUAGGCGGACUCUUAAGUCGGUGGUGAAAUCCUGGAGCUCAACUCCAGAACUGCCUUCGAUACUGAGAGUCUCGAGUCCGGAAGAGGUGAGUGGAACUCCGAGUGUAGAGGUGAAAUUCGUAGAUAUUCGGAAGAACACCAGUGGCGAAGGCGGCUCACUGGUCCGGUACUGACGCUGAUGUGCGAAAGCGUGGGGAGCAAACAGG
This 253-nucleotide ribosomal RNA is filed under the name uncultured bacterium. RNAcentral's name for it is "partial 16S ribosomal RNA". It matches the Rfam family "Bacterial small subunit ribosomal RNA", at positions 524 to 776 of the family's 1533-position model. The record is from RNAcentral.